This 492-nucleotide ribosomal RNA is filed under the name uncultured bacterium. RNAcentral describes it as "partial 16S ribosomal RNA". It matches the Rfam family "Bacterial small subunit ribosomal RNA", at positions 29 to 507 of the family's 1533-position model. The record is from RNAcentral.
AGUGAACGCUGGCGGUAGGCCUAACACAUGCAAGUCGAACGGCAGCACAGUAAGAGCUUGCUCUUACGGGUGGCGAGUGGCGGACGGGUGAGGAAUACAUCGGAAUCUACUUUUUCGUGGGGGAUAACGUAGGGAAACUUACGCUAAUACCGCAUACGACCUACGGGUGAAAGCAGGGGAUCUUCGGACCUUGCGCGAUUGAAUGAGCCGAUGUCGGAUUAGCUAGUUGGCGGGGUAAAGGCCCACCAAGGCGACGAUCCGUAGCUGGUCUGAGAGGAUGAUCAGCCACACUGGAACUGAGACACGGCCCAGACUCCUACGGGAGGCAGCAGUGGGGAAUAUUGGACAAUGGGCGCAAGCCUGAUCCAGCCAUACCGCGUGGGUGAAGAAGGCCUUCGGGUUGUAAAGCCCUUUUAUUGGGAAAGAAAAGCAGCAGGUUAAUACCCCGCUGUUCUGACGGUACCCAAAGAAUAAGCACCGGCUAACUUCGUG